This 1504-nucleotide ribosomal RNA is filed under the name uncultured bacterium. Its description in RNAcentral is "bacterial SSU rRNA". It matches the Rfam family "Bacterial small subunit ribosomal RNA". The record is from RNAcentral.
UAGAGUUUGAUCCUGGCUCAGGAUGAACGCUAGCGACAGGCCUAACACAUGCAAGUCGAGGGGCAUCGGGGCGAGGAGCAAUCCUUGCCGCCGGCGACCGGCGCACGGGUGAGUAACGCGUAUGCGACCUGCCCGUUGCAGGGGGAUAAUCGGGAGAAAUCCCGUCUAAUACCGCGUAAUGCCGCGGGGCUGCAUGGCCCUGCGGCCAAAGGGAGCGAUUCCGGCAACGGAUGGGCAUGCGUGACAUUAGCUAGUUGGCGGGGCAACGGCCCACCAAGGCGACGAUGUCUAGGGGUUCUGAGAGGAAGGUCCCCCACACUGGUACUGAGACACGGACCAGACUCCUACGGGAGGCAGCAGUGAGGAAUAUUGGUCAAUGGGCGCGAGCCUGAACCAGCCAAGUCGCGUGAGGGAAGACGGUCCUAUGGAUUGUAAACCUCUUUUGUCGGGGAGCAAAAGACGCCACGUGUGGCGUUCCGAGAGUACCCGAAGAAAAAGCAUCGGCUAACUCCGUGCCAGCAGCCGCGGUAAUACGGAGGAUGCGAGCGUUAUCCGGAUUUAUUGGGUUUAAAGGGUGCGCAGGCGGAAGAUCAAGUCAGCGGUAAAAUUGAGAGGCUCAACCUCUUCGAGCCGUUGAAACUGGUUUUCUUGAGUGAGCGAGAAGUAUGCGGAAUGCGUGGUGUAGCGGUGAAAUGCAUAGAUAUCACGCAGAACUCCGAUUGCGAAGGCAGCAUACCGGCGCUCAACUGACGCUCAUGCACGAAAGUGUGGGUAUCGAACAGGAUUAGAUACCCUGGUAGUCCACACAGUAAACGAUGAAUACUAAUUGUUCGGGGAGAAUGAUCCCUGAGUGAUACAGCGAAAGCGUUAAGUAUUCCACCUGGGGGGUACGCCGGCAACGGUGAAACUCAAAGGAAUUGACGGGGGCCCGCACAAGCGGAGGAACAUGUGGUUUAAUUCGAUGAUACACGAGGAACCUUACCCGGGCUCAAACGACACAGGAAUACUUUUGAAAGGAGGUAGCUCUACGGAGUCUGUGUCGAGGUGCUGCAUGGUUGUCGUCAGCUCGUGCCGUGAGGUGUCGGCUUAAGUGCCAUAACGAGCGCAACCCCCAUCGCCAGUUACCAGCAAGUCAAGUUGGGGACUCUGGCGAGACUGCCGGCGCAAGCUGUGAGGAAGGCGGGGAUGACGUCAAAUCAGCACGGCCCUUACGUCCGGGGCGACACACGUGUUACAAUGGCAGGUACAGAGAGAAGCAAUGCGGCGACGCAAAGCGGAACUUGAAAGCCUGUCUCAGUUCGGAUUGGAGUCUGCAACUCGACUCCAUGAAGCUGGAUUCGCUAGUAAUCGCGCAUCAGCCAUGGCGCGGUGAAUACGUUCCCGGGCCUUGUACACACCGCCCGUCAAGCCAUGGAAGCCGGGAGUGCCUGAAGUGUGCAACCGCAAGGAGCGCCCUAAGGUAAAACUGGUGACUGGGGCUAAGUCGUAAUCAAGGUAACCGUAA